RNAcentral lists this ribosomal RNA (831 nucleotides) under Peniophorella praetermissa. RNAcentral's name for it is "partial large subunit ribosomal RNA". It matches the Rfam family "Eukaryotic large subunit ribosomal RNA", at positions 66 to 915 of the family's 3401-position model. Lineage: Eukaryota; Fungi; Basidiomycota; Agaricomycetes; Hymenochaetales. The record is from RNAcentral.
UAACAAGGAUUCCCCUAGUAACUGCGAGUGAAGCGGGAAGAGCUCAAAUUUAAAAUCUGGCGGUUCUGCCGUCCGAGUUGUAAUCUGGAGAAGCGUUUUCUGUGCUGGACCGUGCAUAAGUGUCUUGGAAUAGGACGUCAUAGAGGGUGAGAAUCCCGUCUUUGGCACGGACUACCAGUGCUCUGUGAUACGCUCUCAAAGAGUCGAGUUGUUUGGGAAUGCAGCUCAAAAUGGGUGGUAAAUUCCAUCUAAAGCUAAAUAUAGGCGAGAGACCGAUAGCGAACAAGUACCGUGAGGGAAAGAUGAAAAGCACUUUGGAAAGAGAGUUAAACAGUACGUGAAAUUGUUGAAAGGGAAACGCUUGAAGUCAGUCGCGUUGUCCAGGACUCAACCUUAGUUUUCUUUGGUGUAUUUCCUGGUUAACGGGUCAACAUCAAUUUUGAUCGGUGGAAAAAGGCGGCGGGAAUGUGGCACCCUCGGGUGUGUUAUAGCCUGUUGUUGUAUACACUGGUUGAGAUUGAGGAUAUCACGCCCUCGGCGGUAGGAUGUUGGCAUAAUGGCUUUAAGCGACCCGUCUUGAAACACGGACCAAGGAGUCUAACAUGCCUGCGAGUGUUAGGGUGGUAAACCCUUGCGCGUAAUGAAAGUGAAAGUUGGGACCUCUUUGAGGGCACCGACGCCCGGCCUUGAACUCUUGUGACGGUGCUGCGGUAGAGCAUGUGUGUUGGGACCCGAAAGAUGGUGAACUAUGCCUGAAUAGGGCGAAGCCAGAGGAAACUCUGGUGGAGGCUCGUAGCGAUUCUGACGUGCAAAUCGAUCGUCAAAUUUGGG